This is a non-coding RNA of Vigna umbellata (rice bean), 958 nucleotides long. Lineage: Eukaryota; Viridiplantae; Streptophyta; Magnoliopsida; Fabales; Fabaceae. The record is from RefSeq and is a predicted model, not a curated record.
CUCUCUCCCCUUUAUCUUAUCCAUCUCAUUCUCACUCCUUGGUUUGCAGAGCAGGGGUAAGUAACAUAGCAUAACAGACAUGGCUGUUUCUCUGUCGGUGAACCGUCCUCUCCUUCGUCUUCACCACAAGCAUCCACCUUUACCUGUGGGCAUCGCUCCCCAACUCCAUUUCCACUGUCAGCCCAAGCUCGCCGGAAUUCGAUGCUCCUCCUCGCCCUCCCAUUUUACCGACAAAACCCUCAUUUCCAUCAAACCUAACACUUCCCACAUCAAUGACAACCCCCUCGCUUGUCGCUUCCACGCUUCCCAGUUUGGAGGACAGGAGAGCAGCAAAUCCGUGGAAGCGUACGCUGUUGGGCGAAACAUUCGCAUGUCCGCUAAUAAAGCUCGAAGAGUGAUCGAUCAGAUUCGUGGACGAAAAUACGAUGAAACACUUAUGAUAUUAGAACUCAUGCCUUAUCGAGCCUGUGAAGCCAUUCUGAAGAUAGUGUUUUCUGCUGGAGCAAAUGCUACCAAUAACCUGGGUUUAAGCAAGGGAAGUUUAGUUAUCAGUAAAGCAGAGGUUAAUGAAGGAAGAACAAUGAAAAGGGUAAAACCUGUGGCUCGAGGGCGUGCUCAUCCAAUUAAAAAGCGCACUUGUCAUAUAACCGUCACUGUAAAAGGCUCACCAAGUGAGUCCAUCGUGGAAGCGAGCCCUGCAUAAUCCUUUUCGGACUAAAUGUAUGUACGCCUUAUGAUGAGUUAGUUCCCUUUACCCAUUGUAUUUGAUCAAAAUUUCUGUAUUUCGACAUUAUGUACUUCAUUUAUACCGUGUGACUUAAACCUUGUUCUGAGCACCGUCUCGAGACCUUCCCUUGGCCACUCUUGAUAUUACUCUGCUUUUGUCCAGCCGUGUAUGACCUCCAUUGCUAAAUGGGUAUGUUACCUAACCAUGAAAAUGAAGUUUUGGUUUGUGCGA